Molecule: ribosomal RNA, 461 nt
Filed under: uncultured bacterium
Lineage: Bacteria
Description: partial 16S ribosomal RNA
Rfam family: Bacterial small subunit ribosomal RNA
Source: RNAcentral
CCUACGGGAGGCAGCAGUGAGGAAUAUUGGUCAAUGGGCGAGAGCCUGAACCAGCCAAGUCGCGUGAAGGAUGACGGCCCUACGGGUUGUAAACUUCUUUUGUCAGGGAGCAAUUUGGUCCACGCGUGGGCUUAGCGAGAGUACCUGAAGAAAAAGCAUCGGCUAACUCCGUGCCAGCAGCCGCGGUAAUACGGAGGAUGCGAGCGUUAUCCGGAUUUAUUGGGUUUAAAGGGCGAGUAGGCGGGAUUGCAAGUCAGAUGUGAAAACUAUGGGCUCAACCGAUAGAGUGCAUUUGAAACUGCAGUUCUUGAGUGAUGGAGAGGCAGGCGGAAUUCCCGGUGUAGCGGUGGAAUGCGUAGAUAUCGGGAGGAACACCAGUGGCGAAGGCGGCCUGCUGGACAUUAACUGACGCUGAGGCGCGAAAGCGUGGGGAGCAAACAGGAUUAGAUACCCCUGUAGUC